RNAcentral lists this long non-coding RNA (405 nucleotides) under Ananas comosus (pineapple). RNAcentral's name for it is "long non-coding RNA (ACOM_LNC033422)". The record is from RNAcentral. Lineage: Eukaryota; Viridiplantae; Streptophyta; Magnoliopsida; Poales; Bromeliaceae.
ACUCCUUAGGAAUUUGUUACACUAUUUACUAGUUACAAUAUUUACUAAACAAUGUUGCACUGUUUACAUCAUAGUAUAAUAUAAAUUUCGACCAUUUUUGCACUAUUAUGUUCAUGUUAAUACCAAUUCUGUGAAAAUUUUGUGCUACAUAACGUACUGUUACACGCUUUAGCGGAGAAUCUUGAACUCUUUUGAUCUGAGUUACACCACUUAAAGACUUCUUUAAAUAUAAAUUUCAUUUCACCCCACCUUGCGUUGCACUAUUCUCGGCGUUUAAAGUUGCAGAAUUUUUAUACGUUGUAUCCACCUCUCCAACGCACCCUUACAAGCUUAGUACGAGUCUUUUUCUAAACAUUGCACUGGUAUUACUACGGUAUUGCACUCUUACAAGUUUCGUUGCACUCG